Molecule: small nuclear RNA, 23 nt
Filed under: Arabidopsis thaliana (thale cress)
Lineage: Eukaryota; Viridiplantae; Streptophyta; Magnoliopsida; Brassicales; Brassicaceae
Description: snRNA_14313
Source: RNAcentral
UCGGUCUUUACCAAUAGAGCUAA